UACGUAGGGGGCAAGCGUUGUCCGGAUUUAUUGGGCGUAAAGAGCGUGUAGGCGGUCAGGUAGGUCCGUUGUGAAAACUCGAGGCUCAACCUCGAGACGCCGAUGGAAACCAUCUGACUAGAGUCCGGAAGAGGAGAGUGGAAUUCCUGGUGUAGCGGUGAAAUGCGCAGAUAUCAGGAGGAACACCAAUAGCGAAGGCAGCUCGCUGGGACGUUACUGACACUGAGGCGCGAAAGCGUGGGGAGCGAACAGG
RNAcentral lists this ribosomal RNA (253 nucleotides) under uncultured bacterium. RNAcentral's name for it is "partial 16S ribosomal RNA". It matches the Rfam family "Bacterial small subunit ribosomal RNA", at positions 524 to 776 of the family's 1533-position model. The record is from RNAcentral.